Long non-coding RNA from Ostrea edulis (European flat oyster), 290 nucleotides. RefSeq lists it as uncharacterized. The record is from RefSeq and is a predicted model, not a curated record. The transcript has 3 exons. NCBI's taxonomy places the organism in Eukaryota, Metazoa, Mollusca, Bivalvia, Ostreida, Ostreidae.
CAAAAACAAGAAAUACAAAGGAAGCCAUCGAGCAUCCUGCUGUGUUGCUGACUUCCCGAUCAGAAGAAGCUGACUUACGGGGAAACUCAUGCAGUUACGAUAAUUCCUCUCCUGGGUGUGUUACAUACCACAAAAUGAUUUUAAUCAUGAACCAAAUUCAAUGUAGGAUGGAAGGAGAGGAGAUGGAUAAACAGACAGACAUGUCUCCAGGGUUUCAUGGUUGUCACCGUGGAAAUGGGUGGAGUUUUCAAGAACCAUAGCCGAAUUCAUGCUUCUUGAUGCUGAACCGC